ACAAAAUAUAAUUUAUUUAAACUACAACUUGUCAGACAUGAAACUUAAGUUGGCAAAAUAAAAAUAGAAAUAUACUUAAGUAGGCAUUCUGAUGAGCUCAAUGUCCACUGCAUCAUAAGAAAUAUAAAAUAUACAAUGUUAGAUACUAAAUGCUACAUAUUUACAUAUUUAAUAAAAAGUAAUUAAAUAGAACUUAUAAUAUAAGUAUAUAUUGCUUCUAACCUUGAUGGCGAUGAGCGACCAAGAAAUUGCAUUUUCUUAAACAUUUCCUGUUGGCAUGCCAUUACAAUGUCCAUUUGAGAAUUUAAUGCUUGUAUCUGAGAUUGUUGGUCUUGCAUUUGAGACUGCUGAUACUCAACAAUAGUUUCAGCUGUAUUUAGUCGUUUCUUUAAAUUAUAUUGGAUCGUAUCAGCUUCCUCUUUUGCCUUUUUGAGAGUCUUCCAGCUCUGCAGUUCUCCUUUGUGUAGCUAUUGUAGUAUUAGAUUUUGGACCAUAACCGAGACCUUUUAUGUAUCCCGAUUUUGUACCAAGUACAGUAUCCACGAUUUCAUCAAUAGUCAUAGAAGACUCUCCUGAACUAUAUAGAUCUUUCAAAUCUUUCAUGUUGUUAUAGUUAGUCUCAGUCUCUUGAGAUGACCAUUCUUUUUCCUUAAGAGUAAUAAGUAUGCUUAUAAAACUCGAUUCUGUCAGGCUCCACUCUUUCAGGGUUUGUUUCACCCAUUUCAGCACGAGCAGCUACAAAAGCCUUUGACCCCAUUAAAUGAUUAGAUUUAAGCUUAGUUCGAUUCACCUUAUUUAUGUCGCAUCGUUUCUUAUGCUCUGGAUUGAUCUACGCGUCACAAAGCCUGUUCCAAUUUUCAGGGAUCAACUCUGACACUUCAAUUUUACGAGCUUCUUCCUCGGAGCGUGCACUUUCAAUAAUUGUUUUAACUUGUAGCGCCAUUGUCGACUUCUAUUUUUCAGAAUAUCCUCACAGCUAUCUUUCACGUAAUGCUCGUCUAAAUUAAUCUCAAAUCUCUCCAGGCAUCUAAUAAGUGCUGCAUCUCUGUCCUCUCUUGCGAGUUCCUUCCACUUAUUUGGAAGCGGAAGAAAAUUCCGGGCAAUUACGCCCAACUCAUUGGAUAGUUUUUUCUGAUUGAGUUGGUUUAGUUGGACUUCCCUUACCAACUGAUAUCUCGAUCUUCAUCUUGCCUCUCAUAGACUUCUUCAUUUUUUCAAGACCUUUUCCUCUAGUCUUGCCACGACAUUUCCUGAUUCUGUAACAACAACAGGGGUAAUGUUAUUCGAUUCAUCUGGUUAUUCAGUAGCUUGAAUAGUUUCCCCUGUAAGUGUAGUCUGCUUGAAGAUACGUCCACCCGGUGCCAUUGAUUUGCAAAAUUCUGUUUAGUCUUCCAUCAGCUACGAUUAUGUUGCUAAACAAGCUAACUAGAGUAGGAUAGCUGGCGAAGACAUCAACAAUGGUAUCUGAGCUGACAUGCAAAGAUUCAUUUAUGUGAUAUUGGAUCUGAAGCAUCUCUACAUGAAGAUGAGGAGAAACGGUGUGUUUUGUUCAUAUUCACAAAAACACAAAACAGAGAAAUCUUAAAUUCACUCAAUUUAAGCAUGGAUCUGAGCUUGAUCACUCAAAUCAUGUUCUUCAACACUAAAAAUUAAACUCAAUCUAAAAAGUUAAUAUCUACCGUUUAGAUGACUAGUUAUUACACCUAAGG
This 1709-nucleotide unclassified non-coding RNA is filed under the name Hevea brasiliensis (rubber tree). The record is from RNAcentral. Lineage: Eukaryota; Viridiplantae; Streptophyta; Magnoliopsida; Malpighiales; Euphorbiaceae.